RNAcentral lists this ribosomal RNA (613 nucleotides) under uncultured bacterium. Its description in RNAcentral is "bacterial SSU rRNA". It matches the Rfam family "Bacterial small subunit ribosomal RNA", at positions 102 to 713 of the family's 1533-position model. The record is from RNAcentral.
ACGGGUGCGUAACGCGUAUGCAACCUACCUUUAACAGGGCGGAUAACACUGAGAAAUUGGUACUAAUACCCCAUAAUAUCAUAGAAGGCAUCUUUUAUGGUUGAAAAUUCCGAUGGUUAGAGAUGGGCAUGCGUUGUAUUAGCUAGUUGGCGGGGUAACGGCUCACCAAGGCGACGAUACAUAGGGGGACUGAGAGGUUAACCCCCCACACUGGUACUGAGACACGGACCAGACUCCUACGGGAGGCAGCAGUGAGGAAUAUUGGUCAAUGGACGCUAGUCUGAACCAGCCAUGCCGCGUGCAGGAUGACGGCUCUAUGAGUUGUAAACUGCUUUUGUACGAGGGUAAACGCAGAUACGUGUAUCUGUCUGAAAGUAUCGUACGAAUAAGGAUCGGCUAACUCCGUGCCAGCAGCCGCGGUAAUACGGAGGAUUCAAGCGUUAUCCGGAUUUAUUGGGUUUAAAGGGUGCGUAGGCGGUUUGAUAAGUUAGAGGUGAAAUUUCGGGGCUCAACCCUGAACGUGCCUCUAAUACUGUUGAGCUAGAAAGUAGUUGCGGUAGGCGGAAUGUAUGGUGUAGCGGUGAAAUGCUUAGAGAUCAUACAGAACACCGAU